UCGGGUCGCGCACGGGUCGCACAAAACGGCGCCGUUUUGCAACACUAUAAAAGCUAAUUUUUUUUCAAAACUCAUUUCUUCUUCUUUUUCAGAAAAAAUACAAAGUAUUCUCUCUACCCCGAUCUACGGCCAAAUAAACCAAAAAAAAGAGAAAUCUUUGGAUCUGCCUCCCCUUUUGCUGCGGCUUUUCGCCUAACCCCGAGGAUUAAGUGGCCUUGCAAAUCAAAGAGUGGGACACCGACAAACGGGUAAAUAUUUUGUUUUAUUUUCUCUUUUAAGAAUCAAAACAAAUGGAACAAUAUCAUCUUUUUUGUUUAAACCCGAUCUUUAGACCCUUUGGUAUUCGAUCCCCUGUUUCUUUUUUUCUCGUAUGUAAAAAAAACAAUAGAUAAAAGGUAGAGUAAAAAAAACAAAAUUAAAAAGAAUUAAAAUGCAAAAUCCCAGUAAACCUUCUAAAGACUUCUCCGUUUUGGUGUUUUUUAUUUUUUCUUCCUUUUUUAUUUCUGGAAAAGACCCCUUUUUACAAAGUGAGGUUCGGCUCUUAUAGCCGAAAAUACAAGAUUUUUCCUUUCUUUUGUUGCGUGUUUUCUUUUCUUUUGCGGGUGGAGCAGGUGGCUGAGCGGUGGCAAGUGGGCGGUGACCGACGUGACAGUGGCAGCUAGGGUUUGACCGUUCUUCUGUUUCUGAUUUGAUGUUGGGAUUUGGGCUACUGUUAAUCGGGCUUAGGGUUAUUGGGUCGGGUAUUGUAAUUGGGCUUGGUUUUUAAAUGUUUAGUUUUGGUUGUAAUUGGGUUUUUGGGCCCUGGGUAAAUUUGGGCUUGUACAAAUCUGAUAGUAGGUUAAUUUCUGCCAAAUGGUUCCUGAAAUGGUGAUUGGAAGGUUACAACUAUAAGUAUAAAUUAUUGAAAGAAUCUUAAAAGAAUAUAGUUUUGAUGUGACCAGAUUGCAAGAAGACAAAUCGUCUUUAUAUACAUUUAAGCUUACAUCAGCAUCACACUGUUUCUAUUGACCAAGUAAAUGCCUGUAAAGCCAGAAAUGUCCUCUACCGAAUGAACAAAGUCUAUAAUUACGAGGGCAUUUAAGGCAUUUCCCAAUGCAACACGGCUUAGAAUUUUCUCUGAGCCUGUUUUGGUUCAUAAACGAAUUCAGACUCCCUGUUGACUUAUCUUCAAUCCUUCAAUAGGAAUCAUUGAUUCACAUAAUGGAAUUGUUUUGAAGAAACAAAGUUUAACCAAAUACUGCAAAUCAAUGGGAAAGUUUCAGUGGGAUAAACACCAUGAGUCUUUAAGCCUUUUUCUUUAUCUUGUCAUUUUCUUCUCAUAUCAGCUGCCUUCUUCAGCAUACACAUUUCCAGACAAGUAUUUCAUCAACUGUGGAUCAAACAUCUCCGUAAACGUCAGUUCCCAGACCUUUGUCAGUGACUCGAAUUCGGAUGUUUCAUUUACGGAACAAAAUAGCUUUGUCACAUACAACAGGCAGGCAUCAGAAACACCACCUCUGUAUCAAACUGCAAGAGUUUUUCGGAAGCAGUCUUCAUAUGAGUUCAAAAUCAAUACUAAUGGCACUUACCUGGUACGCCUUCAUUUCUCUAACUCAACUGAUGUCUCAGAUGCUAUUUUCAAUGUUUCAGCUUCAGGUUUUCUCCUCUUGCAUGGUUUCACUGUCCAAAAAAUUGGCAGCUCCACUAUAACAAAGGAAUUCAUUUUGAGCAUUCCAAUAGGCAAAUUUUUAAUCUACUUUGUACCGCAAGGAUCUUCUUUCGCAUUCAUCAAUGCCAUCGAGGUCUUUCCGGCCCCUCCAGAUUUCAUUUCUGAUGAGCCUACACAGAUUAGUCGGACUGGAAAUAGCAAUGAUUACAAAGGCCUGCUCUCUCAAGCAUUACAGACGAUUCAUAGGAUUAAUGUUGGAGGCCCUACACUUACACCAGAUAAUGAUACUUUGUUAAGAACAUGGCUUCCUGAUGAUAGUUAUCUGACCAAUUCAGGCAUUGCAAAGAAUAGUGGAGUUUUCUCAGGUAGGCCUAAUUAUGAUCUUGUUACCGAUUUUAGUGCACCAGAUCUAGUAUACAGGACUUCCAAAGAGAUGGCAUCAAACGACUCCAAUAUAACCUGGUCUUAUGAUGUAACCAGAGAUGCUAGGCACUUGAUUCGGGUUCAUUUCUACGAUGUUAUUAGUGUAUCACAGAAUGUUUUAAGUUUUUUUCUCUAUAUAAAUAGCAACUUCAGCCAGAACAUUAACCCUUACCGAGAAGUGGGUAAACUGGAGACUCCAUUUUUCAUGGACUUUGUGGUUGAUUCUGAUGAUUCAGGGUUCAUAAACAUCUCCAUAGGGCCUGAUAGUAAUUCUAUAGUUUAAAAUGCUUUUCUAAAUGGCGUUGAGAUAAUGGAAAUGAUGGGGAAAUCUAAUUUGGUCCCUGUAACACAUAAGUCCAACAAUAUGUCUCCCUUCAUUAUUGGUGGUGUGGUCCUCGGAGGUCUUGUUCUUGUCUGCAUCUUUGGAGGUCUAUUGUUUAUUGGACUGAGACGUAGGAAGCCAAAACCUGUUGAAACUUCAGAAUGGUCACCAUUACCUAUAUUUAAAGGAAGUUCUCAUGGUUAUUCCAAGACACCAAGCAAAGAGGGAACCAUUACUGCUUCUCCUGUGCCUAACUUGAACCUUGGUUUAAGGAUACCAUUAGACGAGAUUCAGUUGGCAACAAAAAACUUCGAUAAGAAGUUGCAGAUUGGUAAGGGUGGAUUUGGGACUGUCUAUCAAGGGACUCUCCGGAAUGGCUUGAAAGUGGCUAUGAAACGAAGUCAGCCAGGGUCAGGUCAAGGUCUACUGGAAUUUCAGACGGAGAUCAUGGUUUUAUCAAAAAUUCGACAUCGCCAUCUUGGUUCUUUGAUCGGAUAUUGUGAUGAAAGGCUUGAGAUGAUACUUGUGUACGAGUUAAUGGAGAAAGGAACUUUGAGGGAUCACCUAUAUAACGCAAAACUACCUUGCUUGUCUUGGAAGCAAAGGCUCGAUAUUUGCAUUGGUUCUGCAAGAGGACUUCAUUACCUUCACAAAGGUGCAUCUGGGGGCAUCAUUCACCGUGAUGUCAAGUCGACAAACAUCUUGCUCGAUGAGAACCUUGUAGCCAAAGUAGCUGACUUUGGCCUUUCAAGAUCAGGUCCUCCGGAUCAAUCUCAUGUUAGCACAGGCAUUAAAGGAACUUUUGGUUAUCUUAAUCCUGAGUACUUUAAAACACAACAGCUGACAGAGAAAUCUGAUGUUUAUUCGUUCGGAGUGGUUCUUCUUGAGGUGCUCUAUGCAAGGCCGGCUAUCAAUCCUGCACUCCCAAGAGAGCAAGUGAACCUAGCAGAAUGGGGAAUGCGUUGCAAGAACAAAGGAUUGCUUGAUCAGAUUGUGGAUCCAUCCAUAAGAGAUCAGAUCAAUCCCAACUCAUUAAGAAAAUUUGCAGAGAUAACAGAGAAAUGUUUGCAAGAAGAUGCCUGUGAUAGGCCUGGCAUGGGUGAUGUGGCAUGGGACUUGGAGUAUGCGUUACAGCUCCAGCAAACAGCAGUUGUCCAAGAGCCACUCGAGGACAGUGCAUCAAAUGUUAACGGUAUGCUAUCGUUGCAUGUUAUCCAGCAUUUACCUUCCACAAAUAUCGAAUUUGAGGGAGAUGAUAUGUCCAUCAUAAAGGAGGAUGAAUCUGACUCAGUCCCAUCGGCAAGUGGAGUUUUCUCCCAAUUGAAAAUGGAUGAAGCCAGAUAAAUCAUUUGGUUUAUAAAGCAAAGUUUCCCGGUGUAAUGUUUUUUGUUCUACCCUAUGUUUCACAUCUGGAAUUAAAUUUGGCACUGCUUUCAUAAGCAAGACAUUUCAAUUACAGUGUUUAAACUGCAAGAUGUAUAAUAUAAUAAUGUAACAACCAUUUUCAAGAUUACAUGUUUACCAGACUAGAUGGUUAAACUGUACACAUGCCAGCUAGAAACACAACUUAUAUAACAUAUGUACCAAUACUAGAGUCCUGAAUAUUACAAACCAGAAGGACAAAAGGAAAAAAAUGAGCAACAUAAAUCAGAAUGAGAGAGAUUUGUACUAAAGACCAGGGCCUUUUCUGCUCGGUCCGGAAGCCGAAGUUGCCGCUUGCUACUCCUGCUUUGAUAAAACCCAACCGCUGUGAUCUUCAGCUGAAUUUGAAGUCCUAACAUAUUUGAUCUCGGGAACAGCUUCCUCACUUGCAUCUCCAGUCAUCUUUGUUGAUCGAAGAGUUCUACAGCUGUAAUACCCAAUUUUAAGCCCGGGCCCAAAUAAAUAAACAUCAAAAAAAUAAAAUAAUAAACAGUCCAUUUUUACAUGUAUGUGGCCCAAUUAUACUAACGGCCCAAAUACCUAGCCCUAACAGCACACAUCCGAAAAAACCUAGCCUUUUGCCCCAGCGCCGCACGUCAGCAAGGCUCCCUCGCACGCCUCCGCCGCAGACGAAUCAGGCCACGUCGCCCCCGCACAACGCACGUUCUCCUCCAGUGCAUCUGUAACAAACCACGAACAGCACUAAAAUAACAGAAAUAUAGAAAAAGAGAUUGUUUUUUUCUCUGUAAAGAUUCGGUUAUAAAAACCGAUGGACAUCUGCAAAAGUUUUUUUUUACGCAUAUUGAAGAAAGAAAACAAAAAAAAUCGAGGCAGAAAAGUUUUUUUGAUAGGUGAUUUUCUUCGUCUUUUAUUUCUUUCUCUUUUUUCUCUUUGAUUUUUUUUUCUUGGUGCACCAAACGAAAAUAAAAGGAAGAAGAGAGGUCCUUACCAACAUAGGCGCGCCGUCGACAUCCUGAUUUGCUACGUCUAAAUCGAAGUUAAAAAGGGGGGGUUUCGGCAUGAAGAGCAGAGGAGAGGAUACAGCAGUUCUUGCGACUGCUGUUACUGAAAAUGGAGUAGAAUAUCAGAUUAGAGUUUGAAGUUGGCUUUACUGAAUUUGCUUCAAAACGACGUCGUUUAAGAUCAGUUCAAAUAGCUUCAAAACGACGCUGUUUAAGAGGCGAGACCUGAUUAUCUGACCCGAUACGAGAAAGAGGAUCCGCGUGUUUUAUACUGAUGAUUUAUUUUCGCAUUGAAUCCUCCUAUUUUCUCGAUUUGUUUUGAUUCAAUCCCUUUCAUUUUUUUAAUUUCGGCCAUAUAAGUUUAUCUUGUUUCCAAUUUCAUCCUCUUAUCAGUUGAGGAUACAUAUGUCCAAAACGAUGCUGUUUUCAAUUAUCUGACCUGGUUUCCUAGUGGUGCGCUUAAUUUCUGCAUUAGUCCCUUCAAUUUCAAACAAAUUACAAAUCGGUUCCCUUUUAUUUUAUUUAUUUUCAAAUUUUCCCCGGACUAAUUUAAUCCUUUUUGUACAUGUUUUUUUUUAAAUAAUUGAUUUGAUAUCAUUUUUAUUAUUACUAUUAUUAAUAAUAUUAUUAGUAUGGUAUUUGUUUAUAAAAUUACAUUUUUUUAUAUACAAUAUUUCAUUCUAUACAUUAUUUGUUUUAAGUAGAGGUGUUCAUGGGCCGGGUCGGGUCGAAUUUGGGUUGGGCCCAAAAAAAAUUUUAGCCCGGGACCUAGGCCAGAGCCCAGCCCGAAAUAUGGGCUUGGAAUUUUGUCUAGGCCCGGCCCGACUCAUUUUUUGCAUUUCUUUUAUAUAUAAAUUUGACAUGUUUGUAUAUAUAUAUUAUAUUUUUUAAUUCACUUUCGAUAUACUACUAUGUUUUUAUAUGAAAAUAUUUUAUAUAAUAUAAUACUAUUUUAUGUAUAUAUGCAUAUAUAAUUUAUAUUGAAUUAUGUUUACUUUAUAUAAAUAUUAUUGAUUUCAUAUUAUAGUAAUUAUUAACUAUAAAUUUUCUUUUAUAUAUAUAUAUUUACAUAUUUUAAAAAUUAUUUUCAUCCAUAUAGUUUAUAUUAAGUUGUUUUCAUUAUAUAUAUGCCAUACAUACUAUAUUGUUGGUUUUGUAUUAUUGUAUAUCUUUUUAGCUUCUUUGUAUAUAGGUGGCUUAUUUCCUUUAAAAAAACUUUAUUUUAUUAUAGUUUGUUUAUUUCAACUUUUUUUUGUAUAUAUAACAAUUUUAAAAAUUAUUAAGAAAAGGGUUAUAAAAACUUAUUAACAGCAUUAAAAAGUUAUAAAAAUUAGGAAUAUAUAUAAGAAAAUUAUAGAAAUUUUUUAGUAGGUGGAAGGUUUGGAUUUGAUUUUAAUGGAAAGCUUGAAAUAUGAUGAUGAUUAGUUUAAUGUUUGGUAACUUAAGAUGAGUGAUAGUAAUGGUUUUAUUUGAGGAGAGAUGAUAUGAGGGAAGUCAAUAAAAAUAGAUUGAGGUAUGAUGUAAGAUAUGUGUGAAUGAAAACAAUAAUGAGUAAUAAUUUUUUAUUAAAAAAUGUUUUUUUUAAAUUAUUAGAGAUUAUUAAAAUAUUAUGUUAUAAAAAUUUUAGAACUUAUGCUUUUAUAGAUUUUAUAAUUUUUUAUUUUUAAUAAUUUUAUAUAAUCUUUAAAAAUAAAUUUAAAAAGUCAAUUAUACCCUCUUAAAAUAAUAAAAAAAUUAAGUAAGCCUUCCAUCACGUCAGCAUUUUUCAUAUUAAAUGCCAAGCUAGCCAUCAUAUUAUUAUUUUUCACGUCUGUCUAGGGCUUCAACGAAAAAUCAUAUUAUAAGGACUGAAUUAAUUAAAGACUCAAUUGAUUGCUUUUGAACGAGGGAUUUAAUUGGUUUUUAAAUUAGAGAGGCCCUUUACACCAAAAUUAUGGGCUGGGCUACCACUUUAUAAAAGAAAAAGUUCCAACUUUAACAUAAACUGUAUUUGGACAACUUAAUUAGUGUAGGGGCUACGUUUAAAUCCAUGGAGAAGUAGAAUCAUAUUAGCCGCCCCUUUAAGGCCUCGUUUGUUGUGAUUUUGAGAAAUUAUAUCAUAUGAUUUUGAUUGAGAUUUAAGUAAUAUUUGUUAUUUUAUGAUAUGAAAUUAUUGGUAUGAUUAGGGGAGAAAGUAUUGUAUGAAAUUGUAAUUUCACGUCAUCUCUAUCCAUUUCUAAUAGAAGAAUAACAAAUUAGAUUUUUUCGGAACCAUUAUCUCACUGGCUGACCUUAACCCUUGUUAUUUUGAGGUCAUAUCUAAUAUUCAGAGUUUACCUCGAUUUGGUACCGCUCUCGCGGCCCGUACCGAAACAGUACUUUACCUCUAAAUGUCCAAUCAACUGAGAACCAGCUAGCUCUGGAUGUCAUUUAGUUUAGAUUUUAACGACCAGGGGUUUUCUUUUUUCUCCAAAGUAUUGUUCUUUUCCCUAUUGACGAAUGGUAACUUAAAAAAAACCUGUGAUCAUUAACGACUAAUUCCAAACUCCCACCGAAUUAUUUUUAAAAUAUAGAUUCCAGUACUAGUCAAUAUAACACCAAAAAAUUGGCUGAAUCACAUAUAUAGUGGACCUUUAUCACUGUGAAUACAUUUGACAGAGUCCUCCCAACCCCUUUUACCGAUUACAUUAACUUGGGUUAAUUAGGCAGAAUUAGGUUUCCCGCUACCCAUCUUUUAAUUUCACGAUAUAUUGGAAAACGUAAUGAAUAGACAUUAAGCUUCCCUAGCAUUUACAUGCUCAACCUGGAACUGGGAAGAAAGUCAUCGUAUGUCGACAUUUCCACUACAUAGAGAAAUGAGGAAUAAUUAGUUGCAUCAAACCUAUCUCUGGAAGCGAUUGGGUCAACUCUUUACAUAUUACGACCAUCUCAAAUGGAUUGACAUUGACUUGUCAAAAUAUGAUUUUAAUGAUUAUUUCUUUUAAGUUUAAAACAAAGUCAAAAGCUCGACAUGGCUGGCUGGCUUGUUUAUGGGGUUUAAUAACCCCCUCCAUCUUGUCCGCAUGUUCACAUGGGACGUAUAGUGUGUAUAAAUAAUAGGAGCUGCCUUCAUCAUGUUCAUACAACAAAAACGAUUAUGGAAUCCUCUUCUCUUAUUUCCUUCUCAUUGCUCUUUUGCUUUAGUAUACUAUUCUUUGGUUCAAAUGGAGUCGAAGCUCGAAGAGCCCCUCCGUCCAUCUCUUAUUUGAUUAGUGAAAAUCUGUUUAAUUCCAUAUUUCUACACAAGGAUGAUAAUGCAUGCCCUGCAAGAAACUUUUACAAUUACACCUUCUUUAUUCAAGCCGCGAAAUGCUUUCCAAGCUUUGGCAACACAGGGGAUAUAGCUACCCGAAAGCGUGAGAUUGCAGCUUUUCUUGCUCAAAUAUCCCACGAGACCACCGGCGGAUGGGCCACCGCACCUGACGGACCAUACGCUUGGGGCUUGUGCUUCAAAGAGGAAAUCAACCCUCAAAGCAACUACUGUGACUCUACCAACACACAAUGGCCUUGCUACCCUGGCAAAUCAUACCAUGGAAGAGGCCCCAUUCAACUAUCCUGGUAAUGAUAUUGCAUUUUGUGUGCGCACUGCGCGUGUGUUUUAUUGGAAGCUAUUAAGCCAAGGCAAGGUUUAACUGAAUAGAUUGGUGUUAUUGAUAACAGGAAUUACAAUUAUGGACCAGCUGGGAAGGCAGUGGGUUUUGACGGGCUAAGGAACCCAGAAAUAGUAGCCAACAACUCCUUGAUCGCAUUCAAAACCGGGCUUUGGUUCUGGAUGACGGAGCAGAGCCCAAAGCCGUCUUGCCACGAUGUCAUGGUUGGUAAAUAUGUCCCGACGGAAGCCGACUUGGCAGCUAAUCGGACGGCGGGAUAUGGGUUGGUAACCAACAUAAUCAACGGUGGGUUGGAGUGUGGAAUACCCAACGAUGCACGUGUAAAUGACAGAAUUGGAUUCUUUGAGAGAUAUGCUCAGUUGUUUAAAGUUGAUACAGGGCCUAACCUAGACUGUGCGAAUCAAAAGCCGUUUUAACAAAAAUGGGGUUCCCUACCUCUGUUUUCUUCUUGUAUAAUAAAACAGGGCAGUACUUGUUUGUUGUGACCUUGUGAUACAAUUGUAAUUUCCAUAAUAAUAGUAAAUGUUUAUUCUGACGGAAGAGCAAAGGGUUUUUCUCAAUGGAAUUUUCUUUUUGUUUUGUUUUAGGGUUGAUUCUCUGUGAGAUUUUAUGAAUAGAUUAUUCUAAAAUCUGACGUUAAUGAUCAAGGCUGAAACAUGCAGGCAAAUAGCAUGGUUAUAAGAAGAAAACGUCAAAGCAUAAACUGACAAUGACGUUGGAAUCAGCUAAUUUAUUUGGUGCAGCCACAGCUCAAGAACUAAAAGUUUCCAGGCCUUCACUCGCCUAUUCCUUCUAAGUGGACUAUUGGGCUGAAGAGAGAGGAAUAGAAGACGAUUCAAAGGACAACAAGCUAGUGAAGACUUUAUUGUAAAUACUAAAUACUAUUGAAGAGAUUGUACACAAGAGACUUAUAGGUAAGAAUAUUAAAAGGCUUUCCUUAAGUUAAAACAUCACAAUCCAUCACCAAUAAAAGAUUUGCAACCAAAAGACAAGACUGGUGCUUGUUACUCAAUCAUUCUAGUAUGUCCAUGUUACAUUUUUUUUUAGAAAAAACCCUAAACAUAUCUCACCAUAUAUUUUCUGCCUACGCAUCUCCUAUUGAUUUUCACUCCACCAAAAAGAAAAGAAAAGAAAAACAAUUUUUUUUAUCAAAGUUCAGCACUUGAUCUACUUAUCUUCAAUCUCCUCACAACCGACAAGAACAUCCUACAGUACAUGCAUAGAUAGAACAGCUUCAGCUGUGGUGUACUAUAAGGAAUGACCAUCAUCACCAUAUAUAAGACAUAACAGAAUUUUGACAUAUGUAAAUGUUGUUUACUUACUGCCAAGGAACAUCACCAACCAUCAUCCAAUCCCCUUCCUUGUCUUCAUAUGUUAGUACAUGAUAUUCCUCGAAAUGAUCACCAUUCACCUCAGCCUCAGCCCCUGCAUGGAUUUGCCAAAACUUUUGUUCAGGGGGAAAAGAAAAAACAGCUGUUGCCUUUUUAACGAAGGAAACAAAAGAAGUAGAAAGAUGAAACUUAACAUAUGAGGUUUGUAUUAAACAUAUGUUCAAGAGUUUUUAUCAGGUCACAGUAACUCCGGCGAUCCAACAGGUCUACUUUUCUACCAAUAGGAAUUCCUUCCAUGUAAACCUUGACAUAAAAAGUAGCGCUGUUGCACUCAUCUUGUUCGGCAAGCUCCAGCCUUAGCAGCGGCUUUAUUGGCGAUCUUUGCUUCCUGAUAUACAUGUAUACGUACCAAUUUACCCAAAAACAAAUGGUAGUGUUUCUUUUGAAGAUGAUGGUGAGUAAAUAACUAAACACGCACCUUGCAUAAAGAGGAGAGGUUGAAAUGCUAAGACCAAGGCUAAGAUCGGUGUUAUGGUCCCUCUGCGAGGAGGAAGAAGCAGCAGUAGCAGUGCUUGAGGAAUCAAAGUGGUUGCUGCUCCCUAUAGAAGAUGAACAAUAACUAAUUGCCCUUCUCAUUUUCUGAGAUGUGGGAACUAAGACCGAAGAACAAAAGCCGCCACCUUUGGUUUAAAUAACCAGAAAGAGAAGGAAAUACUGUAUAUAUAAUGGAAAACAGUGGUAGUAAGUAUUGGUAGAGAAUCAAGAGAGGCAGUUCUUUCAUAUUCCUGGCCAUGGUUGGGAUGAUAUGUCGUCAGAGCAGCCGACAUGUAUACGUCUUAUCUCAUGAUUUUAACUUUUUGUUUCUUGGGAGUUUAAUUCAAGGAGGCUCCAUGUGCGGGUUCUGCUUUGCGUUUGCUUCUCUUGUGUGCAAGUUCAAGGGUUCAUGCACAACACACGGGUAAUUUUAUAGCCUUCCGCAUUUAUAUUUAGUCACCACCUCAUAGCAUAAAUGUUUGAUUUUUCUUUUGAUAAAACAUAUUUGAAUUGAAAUAUUAGUAAUUUUAUAUGGUAAACUAGUAUUUAUUAUAUAAUUAUUUUAAUAAAAUAUAAUUAUUAUUUAUAUUUUCCAUAAAACAGAAUUUAAAAGAUAUCAUGAUGAAGUUAUGCAUUCAAACUCCAAUUGUUGUUCUUUUUAAAACAAAAUCUUUUUCCCCACGUGGAAAGGGAACUCUUGUUUUACCUUAAAAAUAAAAGGUUUGGUUAUCAUCUUUGUGUAUCUAUCACGUUAAUAAUUAACUCUAAGAAAAAGGGGAACAAGAAAGAUUGGCUUGCACCAAAAGAAACGCCUAUUUUGCGAGAAAGAAACUACAGGAAGGAAGAUCUAAGAUGAGAAAAAGCAAAAGCUGAUGUCCCCCACCAUUUCUUGCCCAAAUCCAUGUUAGCUUCGAAGGGCCAUGGGAUGGGAAACCUUUUGUUUUACUGUUCCCUGCACUUGUUUUCUGUCCCUUUAAACACACUACUGUUAGAACCUAAAGGUUUUUUAACAUGCCAACGAAAUAGUGACAUCUAAAUUCGAAUUUUAAAAUUUCUAAUAUUAUUUUAAAAAACUUUUUUCCUCAUUUACAGUUAAUUUGUGGGGGGUUUUUUAAUCAAGUAUUGUCGCUAUUGCUUUAUAUUUCAGAAUACAAAAAUUGUCAAGGAUAGGCAGGGGUGAGGGCAUUAUCCCAUUUUAGGGAUUGCGCUAAAACUUUUUCUUCCCUGGUUUUUUCCCUAUAAUUUUUUCAAUGACUUUUAUUUUGAAAUUAUUACUCCGUUUUUAAAGCGUCAAUAAGUUUAGGUGCCUUUGCUUCAUGAGCGAUGACCAAAAAGAAAAAGAAAAAAAAAAAGAAAUCUGCCGCCCAGUCUCAGGCUAAACAUGAAGCUUUCCUUAAAAACCUAACUAGAAAUUUCCAUGCAGAAGGGAACUUUGGGUGAGAAAUAAAACACAAGGCAUGUUCUUCUUGGCAAUAAUUUUAGAAUGACUCCUCAUUCGGCUCCCAAAAGAACAAACAUUAAACAACAAAAUUAUACUUCAAUUUAUAUUAGUUUUCUCAAAUUAGUAUCUAAACUAUUAGAUUGUUACCUAUUUUAUCUAACUGUUAGCCCCAUUAGAAAAAAAAAUUAAUCAAUCACAACUUGCCACGUAUUACCAAAUUUUCUUAUAUUUUCUUGUUGUCAAAUAAUUUUUAUCUUACAUUUUCUCAUCAACCAAACAACUAACAAAAAAUUGAUUGCUUCAUUGAACAAAGCUUCCAUAAUUUAUUAUCUUCAAGUUUCAACUACUUCUAUCAUCUUUAAACUUUCAGUCUUCUUCUUUCUUCACCGUUUGUUUUGGGGUGUUUCCAUUUUAUAAGUUUUUUUUUGUUACUGAAACGUUAAUGAAAUUAAAGGAUUAGAUACUAAAAUGGCAUUGACAUUUGAAUCUAUUCAAAAGAAUCGAGUUAAAUAGCAAUAAUGAAUCGAUUCAAAAGAAAUAGCAAUGCUUUUGGUGCUCAAGCAAAGAAAAGAAAGAGAAGAAGAAAACGAGCCAAAAAUUUUAGUUGAACAAAUCUACAAAUUGAUCUCAAUUACUUUUUCAUUAUUCAAAAACUGCUUCUUCUUUUUUUUUAGGAAUCUCCCUAUCAUUGUAUGGAAGUGAAGAUUUGACUUCUUCUUUUUUAUGUAUUCUCUUUAAUUAAAGAUCAUUUUAGGUUUUCUACUUCAUUGUAUAAGGAAAGAAUCUGGUGAAGAACGAAGAGGACUGGAAACUUGAAGAUGAUAGAAGUAAUUAAAGCUUGAAGAUGAGAAAAUGUAAGAAAAUUUGGUAAAAAUUGUUUGAUGAGAAAAAAAUAUAAGAAAAUAUGAUAAAAUCAACACUAAAACAAAUGCUGUAGAAUGAAUAAAGUCUACGUGACAAGUUGUAAUAAAAAAAAUUUUCUAACGGGACUAACAGUUGAGGUAAAAUGAGUAACAGUUGAAUAAUUUUAUACCAGUUUUGACCAAAAUAAUUUAAGUACCAAUUUGAAAAAACUAGUACAAGUUACGUACCAUUUUGUUGUUUAAACCCAAUUAAGGGACUUGGGUGUUAGGAUUACAUGAAACGGAAGAGACCAGCAGCAAGAAUCCGCUAUUCAAGAACCAACCUGUCAGCUUGACUGAUCAAAGCAAUUAGCCCUAACUCAAGCCCUUUCUAGAGGAACAGGAGCAACCUUGAUAAACAGCAUGUAUGAUCAACGGUAAAAGAGAAUGUUAGGAAGAUGAAAUGUUUUGAUACGUGAUGCCUCAAAUGCCUAGUAUCGGUACUGAUCAUGGGAUGAGAAAAUUAACACUGCUAUCGAGUAUGAUAUUGCAACAUGAUAUACAAAUAUGAAGUUCUAAUGAAAACCCCAAAAAGUGGUCAAGGAACUAACAAAAAAAACCCUACCCAAUUUUUUAGCUAAAGAGAUACUAUCCAAUAACUGACUUCUACAUUUGCAGCCUGACAAGAAUUUCAAUAUUAUUUGUAUGCAUAUUGUGACAGGAAUUCCUUCACUUCAGCUGCAACCUCGUAAGCACCUUCCACACACCGUCCUAAUGCCACACCAGAUACAUAGUUGCCCCCAAGAAACAGUCCACGAAACCCAGAAUCCCUGAGAGCCAUUUUUGCACUAUCAAGGAGAUCCAAAUGACCAACCAAGAACUGUGGAAUGGCUUUUGGCCAUACUCUUACACCCAAAACAAGAGGAUCCUUUGCAUUAGGAUUUAUAAGCAUUUUUCUCAAAUCACGAUCAACUGCUUCUACAAGUUCCCCUUCAGUCUGCAGGAAAAAUACAGCAUCAGUAAGUAUCAUGCAAAAUCAUGGAAAACAUUAUUUGUAGGUUCACGUGACAAAUCAUAGUUAGUGAAAAAAAUUUGGCCCUUCAAUAAUCUUGACCAUCCUAUAUUUAAAGAUUGCUGGCAGACCGGGUAAUUAUUCCAUGAUCAUACAGGUCUUUAAUACCCUCUAGAGGGAUUACAUCUACCACAAUCUCUGUCCUUAUCCAAAAUUGUGUUGUCCUCAACAAAAACUCAAAUUAUAGAUCUUAAAAGAUGUCUACCUUGGACAAAAUUCCAGUGUUGGUAGCUCCUCCUAUGUAGUUCAAGAGCAACACCCUGCCAGAUGGAGCUCGAUUGGGGAAAAGUGAUGAACUGUAUAUCGUCCCUGCAAGUUGUUUUGUUAAUCAAUCAAAUUUCUAAAAGCGAACUUUUACUGCAAACAAAUUCAGUAUGAUACUAGAUAUGUUACUUUAGGAAGAAUGGAGUUACCUAAAGUUUCAAUUCCUUGGCUGCGUGGGUGCAACUGGCCAAACCCCUUAAGUUCACCAUCAAUCAAACAUUCUUUUCGAAUGGCUUCUUUUGGAUAGGAGACUGUGACUGAUGCAACUGGAGGAUAAUAAAAUUGGGAUAAUGCAUCUGCAGCAGCAGCCUGCAAAGAGGACACAAAACUGGAUCAGAGAAAUAAUAGUAAAACUCUGAAGUCAACUAAACUAGUUAAGAACAAGGCCUCAAUAACUCUUUUAGAGAACAAUUUCCUUCAGACAUUUUCCCUUGUUGGGAAAGGUUACUUUUAGGUAUUGAAUACACAUUACUAGUAUACCAAGAAAGUAUAGCAGAUCCACAAACAACAUAGAGUACAUGGAACAUUUUUCAAGAAAGUGGACUUGCACAAAGUAGAAUAUCUUCAAUCAUUCAGCAUACUGACACACCACAUAAAAGACGCCCAAUUCAGUAGUCCAAGCCUGGCCAAGAGUGUGCUCUGUCAAAUUUAGGAGAAGAACUAUAUAGAUAGAGGCAGACGAACUUGCUUUUUAAUAAUUUAGCAUCCUAGACAUUGCAACAUAAAUGAGUGAAUCCUCUAUGCUAGAUGCUAAUAACAUCUAUAAAAAGUUGUCUAGCAAGGAGUAGGAAGAUAUGAAACAUACCGAGAGAGGAUGCAACAAGUUACUGGCAACAUGGGAUGGAAUGGUCAUUACAACACUUCUACUCUGAAGAGAUACCAUUCCUUCAGGUGUUUCAAAUGUCAAGUUAUACCCUCCAUUGCCCAAUUUGGUAAUACUGGAAAGCUUCCAAGAUAAUUUUACAUUGCUACCCAAACUGCCAACUCAAGACAACUAAUUAGGACCCUCAUUCCUGAAAUGUAAAGAUGGGCAUAAAAGCAUAUUGACAAUUUAGAACCACUACAGAGGCUAUAGCUAUUAUAGAGACAAGGCCACCUGUUAGCAAUUGCCUCAGGCAGCAUGGUAAGUCCCUUCCUAAAAGAUCCAACUGUUUGGCCCUUCGGUUUUGGCAGACGCCUGCAAGAUAACUAUUCAGGGUGAUGGAAAUAAAUAUCACGAAAGAAGCAUCAGUAUAUUCAAAAUUACGGGUCUCUGGGUAGCUUAGGUGUCUUAUUUCUCUCCUGGAUUGUCUUGAAAGUGCCACCAAUGAUGCUGCCACCAAUCUCUUCUAGCUUCCAUACUCUUCCAAAUGCUGCUUUCAUGCUUAAUUUUGAAGGAUCCCCUGCAUAAACACCUGCAGCAAUAACAACUUUUCAAGUAUAACAAUUGAGAAGUGGUUAAAGAAAACAAGACCUUAAAUAUCAGUCCUAGGUUCAAGAACUUCUUGAUCAGAAAAUGCUAAAUUGAAGGUGGUUCACUAUUGUACCAGUAAUAAACUGAGGGUAUAACUUAUUGGUUGAAAAUGUCUUAAGAAAAACAAAAUAUUAAGUACAUCAUUACAGAUAAGUGAACACAUAAAAAGAAUGGAAUCAACAUGCAUCUAAACAAGACCCCACGGAACUAACCCAAAUAUAUAUGUGAUAUAACAAUGCAAAUAAAACAGAGAAAUGCCCCAAAUAUUUUAUAUGAAAGGACCAGUAGAGCCCGUAGAUAUUAAGGACAAUUAACAAGCCAUGAUGACAAGGUAAUUUAGACUGAAAAGAAUAUAAUAAUUGGCGCUCGGCGCAGAAGUGAUUAAAUAACAAAUGUUUCCUACAAGAAAAAACUUGAAAAAAAGAAUAAAUAAUAGAGAAUAAAGAUAUCAAUCAUCACCUGAACAAAAUGGUUCAAUAAAGCGUUCAAAAACCUCAGCACCAAGAUUACGGCGCACAAACUCCUCCACCGAUUCUUCAUAACCCUGUCACCUUUGUCAAAAUUCUGCUAUAUGAGAACCUUCAAUAUAUACAAACAUUAUGCAUAUGCAACGUUAUACUUUUGAUGCAUAACCAAAUGAAAGAAAAAAGCUUAUAAGAAAAGUAAAGUGGACAAACCGGAGGGGGAGGCCGAAUGCCAAUAGCCCCGAACCCAGCCCUAAGUUUUCCAGCAAUGCUCAUCAAAUCAAAAAACGGCAAGUCGGUUGGCUUGGAGGGCACAGGCCUUAGUUUUCCCUCCCAUAGUACAAAUCGCGGUGCAUUAGGGUCACCUAAAACCAAAUCGUCCUUCAAUCCACUAUCCACCUACAACAAUAAACACACAUACACAUUCAUAUGGACACUAACAUAAUUAGUGACCUGAAAUUCCUGGUUUAAUGAAGUGCGAUUGAGCAGCAAAAUAUAAAACAAAUCGCAUAAUUAAUUACAGUAAUACGAAAAGAAUUACGAAAAUGCAAUUCGGGAAAAUGUAGGUUAAGAGAAACCUACGGCCAUGGUUAGAAUAGGAUCGGAGGGCUGAAAACUGUUGGGGCCUUCUUCCCACAGAUAUCCAUCUCUCUCAACGGUAGUGAUGUUGCCACCAACACGGUCUCUGGCCUCCGUCACAAUCACAUUGGAAGCGACGUCACGGUGCUUGGUGGCGAGAGCUUGAGCAAUGCAAAGUCCACUGAUACCACCUCCAACGAUGACGCAAUCCGCGAUGGAUGAUUCUCCCCCGUCGAUUUUAGAUGAGGAAAUCGUGGGACCCUCGGCGAGGGAGCAUCGGAGCUUGAAAGGUUUACGAAAGCGGGGCGGAUGCUGGUGGCGGGGUAUGGAGAAAGGGGAAACGGAGGGCGAGGAACGGAGAAGAGAAAGGUCGAUUAGAGCCGUCAUGAUUGGUGGUGGGGCCAGGCGAGCGAGAGGGAUGGGAAGAAAAAGGCGCUGGAAUUAAAAUAACUAGCGAUUGAAAGUUGAAAGUAGGGAGGUUGGCGAGAUUGUGUUAUCUUCAAGAGGAAAUAUCGAGUGUGAUUACUCGCACCUCUGAGCUGGUAAUCAGUCAAAUUCUGUGAGUACCGGCGUACGUAUUAUGGAAUUUGUCCUGUGGUUGUUAAUGAUUUUUUCAGAAGUUGAAUUUGGUGGUGCUCGAGUCGACGAUAAGAUCGAUCAUAACUUUCAAUUUUCCUUGUUAAUCAGAUCUGACUAGCUUUCAUAAUUUGAGUUAAGCACUUCAAAAUGUUUUACUCUCCCCUGCCUCGUUUAAAAUGAUAAAACGAAAAUUUCUCGUGAUGAAAUGAUUUUUAGUUAUUAUAUUAUGAAAAUGAAUUGAUACAAGGGUAAACUAUAUUAUUUACUCUGCUAAAUUUCUUUUUACUUAUUUACUUAUAAAAAUUUAUAAAAUAUAAUUUAAUUAUUUAAUUUUAUCUUUUCUUACAAUCACGAUGUGUCAGUUUUUAAAAUUGGUAUUAUAAUAAUUUUAAUUCUAAAUAUUUAUGCAUUAGGUAAAUUUAGUCUUAAUUUUAAAAAAAUUAACCCUAAACAUUUACAUAUAGUAUAAUUUGAUCCUUUUUAUAGUUUUUAUUUCUUUGUAACCCUUCCACCUAAAAAACUAAAAAAAUAAAUUUAUCAACUGAAUUUGAUCGAAAAUAUAGCAAAAAUUGAAACACGAAAGAAUCCAAUACAAUAAAUUUCAUUUUUUUCUUAUUGUUUUAAAUUCAUUCCGUAUACUUUAAACUUUUAAGAACUUAAUGUCUCUCGAUGUUGAUUAACUCAUUUUUUGUUUGGUAAACUAUUAAAAUAGUCACACUCGUUUGCCUCAAGUUAUAUUUUAGUCACUUAUGUUUAAAAUGUUACGUUUUAGUCACUUACAUUAUCGUGUUGUAACAUUUUAGUUACUGAACCGUUAAUUAUUGUUAACGGUGUAACGGUAAAUUGAUAUGACACGUUAAAUCAUAAUUUCAAAUGAAAUUUUUAGGUUAUAUUAUACAAUUAGUCCCUAUAUUUUUUUAUUUUGAGCAUUUUUUUCUUUUAUGUUCUUUUGACUUUCCUUUUUUAAUUUUUCAUUCUCUUCUACUUCUCCCUUUGUUUUCCUCCCUUCUCUAUUUCUUUUAAUAUAGUUUUUCUAUGUUUUCCAUUUGUUAAAACAUUCGUUUUGAGGGUUACCGUAGCCUUGCUGAUGGUGAAGAGGUCGAGUACGUUGUCAAGUCUUUUGAAGGUCGUCCCAAGGCUGUUGAGGUUACUGGCCCCAACGGCAACCCUGUUAGUUGCUCCUUCAAAUUCGAACACAGUGGCGGCGGCGACAGAUCGGUGGAGGGGGAAGGAGAGGCGGAUACGGUGGAAGUGGUGGAGGAUGUUAUAAGUGUGGUGAGAUAGGCCAUUUAGCAUGGGAAUGUAGGCAGGGUGGCGAUGGUGGUGGAGGCAGAUAUGGCGGCAGCGGCGGUGCUUAAAUGUGUCCUCGCAGUAGCCGCUAAUUUUAACGAGGGGUUUAAAUGUGUCAUUCACAUUUCUUCGAUCCAUUCCUUUUUCCUUUUCCGCUACUGUUUCUUUUGGUUUCAUUAUUGUCGUAUUGUUUGCUUUUUAUGUUUUCUUUUUCCAAUUUAUGCAAAAUGAUUUCUCUUAGUCAAUUUGUUUUUAUUUUGAAGUUGGCAAUAGUUGUAAUGGGUGCUUUCGUAGUAGUGUUUAUAUAGAUUAGUAUCGAUGGAAAAAACAACAAUGAAGAAUAAAAUGAUGUUAAAACUCACUGUCAUCAAGUGUUUAUAUAGAUAUCAUAUAAAUAAUAAGAAAAAAAAUUAAAUUGUUCAAAAAAAUAAAAGUAUAGGUGUACAAAGCCCAAAUUUGCCCCAGCCCAACAAACUAAAUUAAACCCAAAUACAAGCCCAACAGACCUAAACCCACUACCUUAGAGCCCGAUAAGCCUAAAAACCUUAAAAAUUUUUGGGAAACCCUAGCCUCCAGGGUAUCCUAGGCUGCCGCUCCCCUGCUGCUACCCAUGUGCGCCCUCGGCGCGCACACCGCCCAAAGCCUAGCAGGCUUGCACCAAAACGGUAAAAAGCCGUGAACUCCGCCCUCGUCAACGUCUCCAGCUGGCCAAACCUGCAAGAAAAAGGAAAAAAUGACCACAAAGGCAAAGAAACAGACAACAGAGGAGCAGAAAAGAUUUUUCUUUUGGUUAUAAAGCCCAAGCAAAGGGAUUUCAAAGGGGGGAUUUUUCUUUUUCCUUUUCGGCAAGAGCCAAGUUUACUGUAAAAGAAGAAGAGUUUUCUCUUCUUUCAUUUUGGCUAUAAACAUUAAGGAAAAUAAGAAAACAAAAUAGAUUUUUGAAGGUGACUUUUUCUUUUUUUUUUUUCAUAUUUGCGUUUCUGCUUGUUUAUUUUAUUUUACUUAUUUUAUUUUAUCUUUUACAUAAAAAAAUAAGAAAACGGAAAAAGAAACUCACCGGGAGUCGCUCCGUCUUCUCGCCAUCGGAGACUCAUUCUUCGGUGACGGAACCGGUUGAAGAGAGGCACAACGGCCUUUUCCCCUUUGUUUUCGGUUGUUUUGAGGCUAGAUCCGGGCUCAGGGGGUCGAGAUCUAGAAAAUAAGCUUUUUUGCCUUCGCCAACCACCGUGCGCGGCAGCGCCGACGCCGGCGACCGGAGUCCGGCACGGUGGCCAUUGGCCGGAGCCAAGAUCAGAGGGAGGGGGGCUAGAGAGAGUUUAGAGAAUUUUUUUAAAUGAAUGGAUGAAGAAUGAAAAUUUUUUAAAAAAAUUUGACUUAAAUAGGGUCCAUGAAACGGCGUCGUUUUGAGUUUCAGCACCAAUAGCCAAAACAGCGUCGUUUAGCCCUUUAACCCGCGCGUCGACCCGACCCGCGACCCAGGGUCCGCGUGUUUUUGUGCGGGCGGGUUAUUUGCUCGCGCAGUCCCUCCUAUUUUGCGGCAUGUUGCAAUUUGGCCCUUUUUCACUAUUUUCUUUUAUUUUUUGAUUUGGCCACAAAAUUUCAUUUUUAUCUCGAUUUGGUCCACUACAACGCAGCGUUUUGGGGCUUUGGUUUAUUUACCCUAUUGGUCCCCCAUCUUUCAACGCGCGUUACAAUUCCUUCUUGUCUUCUUUUUUCGAUUUCGCCCCGUUUUUUUCAUUUUUAUAUCAAUUUAGUCCGUGUUUUAGCAAUCUUAUUAUUUUGUUAAUUAUUUUAAUGUAUUAUCAUUUAUUAUUAUUAUUAUUACUAUUAUUAUCAUUAUUAAUUAUUAUUAGUUUUAUUUUCCUUUUAUUUAUUUGUUACUAUUAUAUUAAUAUAUUAAUUAGUUUUAUAUUAUUUUCUAACUUUAUUUUUAUUCUAUAUAAAUACAUAUAUGCAUUAUGCAUGUACAUAUUUUUAUAAUUCAUUUAAUAUAUACAUACAUACUCAUAUUUUUUAUAUUUUAUAAUUUAUCUACAUAUCUAUAUAUAUAUCCAUAUACAUUUUUUUCUUUCACGAAUACAUAUAUAUAUCUUUUUUAUUUUCUUGCUUUAUUUAUUUAUUUACAUGUCUAUUUUGAUGCUUUAGUUUUUAUUUGUUUAUUUAUUAAUUAUUGUGUAUACAUGAUUGACUUGUCUUUUAUAUUUAUUUAUUUCAUUUUUGAUGAUCGUUAGUAUUAUUCGCACUUACAUUACCGAAUUCAUGAUAUUAACAUCGUGUUUUAUUUUUACUAUUUUGCGUUAAAUUGUCUUCAUUCAAUGCAUAAAUUAUGACUUUUUGAAUAAACAAAAUUUCAUGUUUAGAUUUGAUAAAGUCGUACCCUAACUUACUGGGUUUCGAUUUUCGUAAUAAAUCUAAAUGCAGAAUCUUUUUAAACUCAAGUUUUUAAACGAUCCCGGGAAUUAAGAAAAGAUCGUGUCCUAACUCACUAGGCAUGAUCUCUUUUCUAAACCCGAGAUAAUUAAAUGUCUUUUUAAAUAAUUAAUUUUUUUGGCAUGUAUUCUCGUAUCGGGAAUUCGAUACGUUGUGUCCUAACGCAUUGGAUAUGACAUGUCGUUUUCUCGAGACGAGGAUUUUUUUUCUAAAAAAUAAUAAAGGCAAUGUUUUGCGUUUGGAGAUUCGAGAAAACGUGCCCUAAUGUGCUGGGUUUCGUUUUUUUUUUUUCGUUCUAUCAAAUUGUCAAAUAUCCUUUUAAAAUUUUGAAGUAAGGCAAUGUUUUGCGUUUGGAAAUUCAAGAAAAUGUGCCCUAAUGUGUUGGGUUUCGAUUUCUCGUUUGACCAAAUAGCCAAAUAUCCUCUUAAACCUUAAUCCAUGUUAUUCAAGUGUUUUCUAGGAUCGUAUUUUCAAUUUCUUUAAAGUUCUCAAUUUUCGACACCAAGACAUUAAAUAAUCAACGAGGUACCAAUUUUGGGCGUAUCGAGGGUGCUAAUCCUUCCUCGUGCGUAACCGACUCCCGAACUCAUUUUUCUGAAUUUCGUGGACCAAACUUGUUGUUUUAAUAAAAUCAAAUCGUUUAUUAAAAACAACAACUUUUCAAGGUGACCCGAUCACACCUUAUCAAAAAGGAUUGGUGGCGACUCCCGUUUUCGUUUUCAUUUUUCAAAACCCAAGUCGACCCCGUUUUGUCAAAAAAUGGUGUCAACAAUAGGGUUUAGUUUUAAAAAAUGAAAUGUAACACCCCUUAACCGUAUUCAAUACCGGAAUAGGGUACGAGGCAUUACCAAAACACAUGCACUUGUAAACGUAUUUAACCGAGUUAUAAAAUUUCAUUUAAAUUAAAACUUUCAAAAUAAUUAACAUGCUUCUAUAACUUUUCACAGUAUAUCCUCAAAAUGUUAUAAUCAUAAUAAUUAGGGCUUACGAGACCCGAUACAUACUCAUGCAAUUCAAUGCUUCAUUUCCAUUUCCCUCAAUUCGCAAUUUCUCAUGACGAUUUAGAUCAUAUCACUAGCAAUUUCCAUUUAAUUCACGUACAAUUCAAUGACAUCAAGUUCAACACUAAUACGUAUUUACCAUUUAACUCAUGUUUAUUGAUUAUACCAUUCAAUAACACAUUUAUGAAAUUCUCAAUUUUGCAACGAAAAUAUCAUUUUAGCUUGAAUAACAACAUCGUCCUGAUAUAAAUACACUACCACUUAUCCAUUUACUUUAAUUCUUUUGGGCCCAUUUGUCACUUACCAUCCUUAAUCAAAUUAGGGAACGGUUACGAAAAAUUGAGUACUUCACUUUCACUUUGCCAUAGUAUAACUAUGGUCUUACAUAUGAUCACUUAUCACUUGUCCCUGAUCAGAUAAGUGUAGCUAGGCUACCACUUAUCACUUUGUCACUUGAUCAGAUAAGAGUAGCUAAGGCUACCACUUAUCACUUUCUCACUUGAUCAGAUAAGUGUAGCUAAGGCUAACACUUAUCACUUUGUCACUUGAUCAGAUAAGUAUAGCACUUAUCACUUUUUCACUUGAUCAGAUAAGUGUAGCUAAAGCUACCACUUAUCACUUUGUCUCUUGAUCAGAUAAGUGUAGCACUUAUCACUUUUUCACUUGAUCAGAUAAGUGUAGCUAAUGCUACCACUUAUCACUUUAUCACUUGAUCAGAAGUACUCAAAUCCGGCGUUCCGCUCAAUUUGAUCAUUUAUUCAUAUAUCAGGCUUACCAACAUGUGUUAAUUCAUAAACCAUUCAUGACAUUAUUUCAUGCCACAUCAUAUAUUGAAUAUACCAGACACACAUACUAUGAAACUUUAUUUUCACACAUGAGUUUAAACCAUGACCAAUAAUGCACAAAUAUAAGUAUAAUUCAUAUUUCAUCGUUUAUCAAUUAAAAUCAAGCAUAUGACCAAUUAUACACAAAUCAUUCAUAUAUUUCCCAAUUUUCCUCCUCCUCCUCUCCAUUCCACAUCCUUAAUGUCUAUAACACACUUAAACAACAUUAGCUAUAAUUUCACUGUUCACUCACAUGUAUAUUUAAAACUGUUUAUCCGAGUCAGAGUCACUAAAUUAUUUUUAUCCGGAGCUAAAGAGCUCCAAAUUAAGAUCCGUUAAUUUUUCCUGAAACUAGACUCACAUAUCUUCAUAUCAUAAAAUUUUCAGAAUUUUUGGUUCAGCCAAAUAGUAUAUUUUAUUCUUUAAAGUUUCCCCUGUUUCGCUGUCUGACAGUUCCGACCACUCUUCACUAAAAAUUAAUUAUCUCAUUGUAAAGAAUUUGGAUGAUGUUUUCGUUUGUUUCUUAUAAAAAUAGACUCAUUAAGGAUUCUAACCAUAUAAAUUAUAACUCAUAAUAAUUUUUUUACGAUUUUUAAUGAUUUUCCAAAGUCAGAACAGGGGAACCCAAAUUCAUUCUGACCUUGUCUCACAAAAUCUAUUAUAUCUCAUGAUUUACAAUUUCAUUGCUCACACCAUUUCUUUUAUAAUAAACUAGACUCAAUAAGCUUUAGUUUCAUAUUUUAUUCAUCCUCUAAUUCAAUCUUUACAAUUUUUGGUGAUUUUUCAAAGUUACACUACUGCUGCUGUCCAAAACUGCUUUAGUGCAAAAUGUUGAUUUCCAUUUUGCCCCAAAUUUCACAGUUUAUACAAUUCGGUCCUUUCUCAAUUAACCCCUCAAUUAAUCUAAUUUUCUCAAUUAAUACUUUACCUAGACAUUAUAAGUUGUUACUAAACUAUUGAAAUCCAGAAUUUCCACAUAUAACUCUAUCUUCAAACUCUUUUACUAUUAGGUCCCAAACAUUCACUUUCUAUUCAAUUCUUUCAAUAAAAUCAGCAUAUGAACAAUUUAAAGCUCUAAUUUCAUGAUAAAUCAUCAUAUAAUUCCAGCAUAUAUUCAUAUCAACUUUCAACUUCUUUCAUAAAAUCAAAAACUAAUGAAUUUAACAAGUGGGCCUAGUUGUAAAAGUCAUACAAAUACAAAAAUUUCAAGAAAUAGUCAAGAAUUGAACUUACUUGUAAUAAAAAUAUGAAGAACCAGCUUGAAGAAGCCCUUCCAUGGUGUUUUAGCUGAUGAGAAUUCAGAAAAAUGAAGAGAAAUCUAGAUAAUUCCUCUUUGGUCCUAACUUUAUUAAGCAAAUUUUGCAAUAUUCCAAUUUUGCCCUUAAUUAUUCUCACUUUCUUGCUGAUUUCAUGCCUUUGCCGUCCAGCCCAAAUAGACCUUGGGUCUAUUUGCCUUGUAAGCCCUCUUCCUUUUAUCAUUUAAGCUAUUUAAUCGUUUCCCAAAAUUUUGCAUUUGUUACAAUUUAGUCCUUUUUGCUCAAUUAAUUAUCGGAACUUUAAAAUUUCUUAACGAAACUUUAAUACUAACUUUUUAACACUCCAUAAAUAUUUAUAAAAAUUUAUAAAUAUUUAUGGCUUGGUUUAAAAUCCCCGAGGUCUUGAUACCUCAUUUGGAUUCUAAUUAUUUUAAUAUUUAUUUCUAGUGCACUAUUCACUAUUUCAAAAAUUGUCUUAACUUCACAUUUAACUUAUACUUACUAAAUUAAUAAUAUUUUCUACCCAUUUGUCAAAUUUAGUGAUCUCGAAUCACCGUUCCGACACCUCUGAAAAUUCAAGCCAUUACAUUUUUUUUCUCGUCGGAUUUGUGGUCCCGAAACCACUGUUCCGACUAGGCCUAAAAUCGGGCUAUUACAUGAAAAAUAUAGAAAAAUUACAUUAAGAGAAAUGGAGAAUGGAGGAAAACAAAAUGAGAAACAGAAGAAAAUGGAAAAUGAAGAAAAAAUAAAGAAAGUUAAAAGAACAUAAAAGGGGAAAAAAUUAAAUUGUUAAAAAUGAAAAAAUAUAGGGACCAAUUGUAUAAUUUAACCUAAAAUUUUCAUUUGAAAUGAUGAUUUAACGUGCCACGUCAACUUACCGUUACACUGUUAACAACAAUUAACGACUUAGUGACUAAAACGUUACAACCCGAUGAUGUAAGUGACUAAAACGUAACAUUUCAAACAUAAGUGACUAAAAUGUAAUUUGAGGCAAACAAAAGUGACUAUUUUGGUAGUUUACUUUUUUUGUUAGCCUAAUAUGACCAUUAUAGAUAAAACAAAUCAAUGAUUUUUUUUAAUUUAAUUUCUGUCCACAUGUAUAUCAUAUCUCAAAUGAUAUAAGUCAGUACAAACCAAAAGUUACACUAAAAAGAAAAGUAAAGUUAAGAAUUGUUUGGACAACACAGAGUGAUUGAAUGAAAGUGUAAUUACAAAAAAUUGUAAUUCCCUAGACAUGUUUAGCUGAUAGGGUGUAAUUACAUUGUAAUUCUCUAUGUCAUGUUUGGUAGUACAAAUUGUAAUUACAUAGUUACAUAAUUUAUAUUGUUUAAAAAAUACUAAUUAUUAUAAAAAAUUAUUAGCAUGAUAAAAAUAAUUUAUAAGCAAGUAACAAAAAUUAAAAUAAAAUACUCAUAUGCAUUAUAUUAGUCUAAAAAAGUAGUUGAUAAAAUGAUACUAAUAAAAUAACAAGAAAAAUAAACAUUAGAUGCAAUUUUAUCUAAUUGUUUUGGUACAUAUCUAUAUGAUUAUUCCCUCAUUAGCAUUUAACAUAAGCUUACUAUCAUCAUCUAUUAGUCUUUGGCUGGGUUUAUCAUUAUCUAAAUUUGAAUCUGCAUCAUUAAGAUCAUCAAGAUUUCCUUCUUCCAUGUGCUCUAUAAAGUAUAGAUCAUAUCAAUUCCACUUAUAAUUGAAGUUGGCCAAACCACCUAAGCUCUAGGUCCAAUGUGAGUAGGAUCAUUAAGCCAUGCUUCAUAACUGGAAAAAUAAGCAUUGUGGAAAUACAUGUUGCUUAGCCAAAGAAAGAUGAUGGAGAGUUAACCAAAAUGGGCACUAAAUAUUUUGCGAGAGAUCUCCUCCAAAUAACUGGUAUGGCUAUUGAAAUCGUGAGCAUCAACAUGUAGGUUCUAGAUCUGUCACGGACUUAGAGUUUUCCCACGCGAUCCGUACGGCCUUAGGCAGUUUCUCUGCUUCAAACGCCUAAGUCAGCCUAACUUGUAAAAAAAAAGAUUCAGCAGCAAAAACGCCCAAGUCAACUUCACUCGCAACAAUAAAGGAUUCAAUGGAAUUCCCUUAAGAUUUUCACGAAGAACAGCAGAAGAACGAAGUAAGAACGAGCCUUGAAAGAUGAACAAAAGCAAGGACACUUGAGAGAAAAGUUUGAGUGAAUACUCUCAAAAUUCUUAUUAAUAACUUAAUGAAUGUACAAUGAGCAAAAAGGUCUCUAUUUAUAGUUGAGACUCACAGUAUAUCAAUAGCUAUAAUUAAAAGCUGAAUACAAUUAGAACUCUAAGCUUACAUAACCAGCUAUAUACAAAUAGAACUCUAAGAUUCCAUAAUUAUAUCUUCUAGAACACUUCCCAUUUCUAUCAGGCUCUUGAGAUGGGCUUUUAAUCUCUCCAAUCACCGGGCCAGUUUGGUUGGGCCAGUUUGGUUGGGCUAAAUGACCUCCCUCGAACGCGAUGGAUCGCACCAGUUUGUCAUGGUUGCGAGCACCGACGCGCAACCCAUGACAUUCUCCCCCACUUGUUCUAGCGACGCCCUCGUCGCAUCCUCCUUAUGAAACUGGUCAAUAUUCCCUUGGAACUGCCACAAUGCCUCAGCAGGUUCCCAACUUGCUUCGCUAUCAGGAAGUCCCUUCCAUCGAACUAAGUACUCAUGCUGUGGUUGGUGGUACUUUCGUCUAAUCACCCGAUCUGCCUCAAUGUUUUCUACUUCACGAUCAUACGAGACUUUUACCCCCAUCGGAGCUCGUUCGGACUUGCCUCGAUUCGGAUCUUCUUGAUCCUCGUGAAACGGCUUAAGCAUGCUUACAUGGAAGACUGGGUGUACUUUAAGUUUUGGUGGCAACUCCAGCUUGUAGGCCACCUUGCCCACUCUCUUCACAACUUUAAACGGCCCUUCAUACCUUCGCACAAGACCCUUGUGCAAACCAGUAUAUCGUAAAAUCAAGUGUAGUUUAGCAAUGACUGAGUCACCCACUUGAAAUUGUACAUCCCUUCGGUUCUGAUCGGCCCACUUUUUGCUACGCUUACUUGCCUUGUGUAAACAAGCUCUAGCCAAGUCAUUCUUCUCUUGCCAAUCUUUUGCGAAUCUAUAGGCUGCCGGAUUUGGUCCUGUGUAAUGGGUCACAACAGCGUUGGGUGUGAGUGGCUGUUGACCCGUCACUAUUUCAAAUGGACUUUGAUUCGUGGCCCCACUUCGCUGCAAGUUAUAUGAAAAUUGGGCCACAUCCAGCAACUUUGGCCAAUCCCUUUGUGUGGCACUCACAUAGUGCCGAAGAUACGUCUCCAACAGUGCAUUUACUCGUUCAGUUUGCCCAUCGGUUUGUGGAUGCAUGCUCGUGGAGAAGUUCAAAUAUGAGCCCAUUGACUUGAACAACUCUGUCCAGAACCGACCAGUAAAUCGACCAUCUCGAUCGCUGAUAAUAGAUAGUGGCACUCCCCAAUAUUUCACCACGUGUCUAAGGAAUAACCGAGCUGCUUCCUCAGCAGGGCACUCUUUGGUCGCCGGAAUAAAAGUCGCAUACUUUGAAAACCUGUCCACCACAACAAGAAUACUAGCAAACCCGUCAGACUUAGGCAAACCAAUAAUAAAAUCCAUGGAUAAACUCUCCCAUGGCCUUUCUGGGACUGGCAGGGGUUGAAGCAAGCCGGCUGGAGUCUUUAACUCAACCUUGUCUUGUUGGCACACUAGACAAGUUUUCACAUAGGUUUCCACAUCAGCACCCAUGUGAGGCCAAUAAUAGCGAUCCUCCAAAAGGGCCAAAGUGCGAUGCAUCCCUGGAUGGCCUGCCCAUUUCGAGUCAUGACAUUCCUUCAUGACUUCCUUACGAAGUUUCCCAUAAUGGGGCACAUAGAGGCGGUGUCCAUGAGUGUAUACUAGCUCCUCAUCAAGCCAAAAUCUUCUUGUUUUUCCCUCAUUGGCAAGCUCAAUCAAAUUUUUGGCCGUAGGAUCAUGGGACAAUCCCUCUCGAAUGCGUUCCAACAAAGAGCCAUCAGGUUGACUGAUUGCUGCGAAUUCUAUCUUUCGACUAAGUGCAUCAGCAACAUUGUUGGCACUUCCUGGUUUAUAUUCCAUUGUGAAAUCAAACUCUGCUAGUAAAACCUGCCAACGAGCCUGCUUGGGAGACAACUUUUUCUGGGUUAGAAAGUAACUAUUGGCAACAUUGUCGGUAAGGACCACGAACCUGGAACCCAAUAAAUAAUGUCUCCAUGUGCGCAAGCAGUGUACUACCGCAGUCAUCUCUUUCUCUUGGACCGUAUAUCUACGUUCCGUCUCGUUAAGCUUUCGACUCUCGAAAGCAAUUGGGUGUCCUUCUUGCAUCAGUACUCCCCCAAUAGCAUAAUCUGAUGCAUCUGUACGUACCUCGUAAGGCUUCGUAAAAUCUGGCAAGACAAGUACGGGCUCCCUCGUCAUUUCUUGCUUCAAUUGGUUGAAGGCCUUCUCACAUUCUGGAUUCCAAUCCCAUACCUUCCCCUUCUUCAACAUGUCCGUCAAGGGAGUGGUAAUUUUGGAGUAGCCUUCGACAAAGCGGCGAUAGUAAUUUGCCAAUCCAAGGAAAGAUCUCAACUCUGUUACCUUGGUUGGAGGCUCCCACUCUGAAAUGGCUCGAAUCUUAUUUUUAUCCAUUCGGAUCUUACCGCCUCCCACAAUGUGACCUAAGAAUGACACCUCUUGUUGGGCAAAUGAGCAUUUCUCCUCCUUGACGAACAGCUCAUUUUCCCUCAAAGUCUGGAACACCUCCCUCAAGUGUCUUACGUGCUCUUCAAGCGACUUGCUAUAGACCACAAUAUCGUCAAGGUAAACAACCACAAAACGAUCAAGAAAGGGUUGAAGUACCUUAUUCAUUAGGGUGCAGAAUGUAGCUGGGGCAUUCGUGAGUCCGAAAGGCAUCACAAGGAACUCAUACGAACCGUACCGUGUCACACAAGCUGUCUUUGGUUCGUCCCCCUCGACUAUCCAAACUUGAUGAUACCCCGAUCUCAAAUCUAACUUGGUAAACCAUCUUGCACUACCAAGCUGAUCGAACAAAUCUGCGAUAAGAGGAAUAGGAUACCUAUUCUUCACGGUGAUCUUGUUUAGAGCUCGAUAAUCGAUGCACAUUCUCAAGGAUCCAUCGUGUUUCUUUUGGAACAACACUGGAGCACCAUAUGGGGAUUUAGAUGGUCUAAUGAAUCCCGCAUCCAAAAGUUCCUUCAAUUGUUUCCGCAACUCUUCUAAUUCUGGCGGAGACAUACGAUAGGGGGCCCUUGCUGGCGGCACCACAUUGGAUACUAACUCGAUUUUGUGGUCCACCUCCCUCUUGGGUGGCAAACUUUUUGGCAACUGAGCAGGCAUUACAUCUCGAAAUGAUUGUAGUAAUUGUCUCACUUCUUUCGGGGUCUCACUAACAGACUCAGCGGUCUCUUCGAUCUUCAAGGUGGCUAAAUAUGAGACUUCAUUUCUCCGUACACCUUUAGCAAAUUGAAUUGCUGAUAGUGUUUUUCCCUCAAUGCUUCUCUUCCUUGUCACUUUCACCAUGCAUUGAUGUUUCGCAUCUGAAAUCACCAUGUAAUUGCUCGAAUGGGCAAUAAGAGCUUUAACCUGAUCAAGGAAGCUUAGUCCCACCACAAAAUCAUAGUCAUCAAGUGGUAUUACCUUAAUGGAUACCUUCCCUGACCAAUUACCGAGCUGAAGAUCCACUCCCUUUGCAACCCCCUUGAUUGGAAUACUUUCCGAGUUCACUGUUUUGAUCCGACCCCCUUCAUUAUCUAUCUUGAGGCCCAAAUUACAAGCAGCCUCCUCAGACAUGAAUAAAUCAGAAGCGCCUGUGUCAACGAGCGCAUUCAAUUUUCUGCCGGCCACAAUGAUGUCUACAAACAUCAAACCAUGGCUCAUUCUAUCUUUGACACCCCCUAGUAUCGAUCCAAGGUUGUUAUCCUCCACAUCGGACUCCUCCUUUGCUUCCAUAGCCUUGAGAGCGGCCUUCUUUGGACAGUCCUUGAUCAUAUGUGGACCCUCACAGUGGAAGCACCUUAUAGGCCCACUCUUUCUCUUGUCCCAAGGUUUCUUACCAUCGCCGUUCCUAGUGGGCCUUUCUUUAUCUCCCCCACUAUUACCCUUUAAUCUGGGUUUAGAAGAAUUGAAAUUGUCUUUCCUCCCACCAAAUUCAGCAAGUGAUUCUGCUACUGACAUAGCCUUGGUGAGUUCUUGAACUCCUCGGCGCUGCAACUCUUGCUUCGCCCACGGUUUUAAUCCGUCCAUAAAGGAAAAGAAUGCCUCUUUCUCCCCCAUAUCUGAGAUUUGGAGCAUAAGCUCGCUAAACUCCUGUACAUACUCCCUCACAGUGCCUUGUUGCGCAAGCCGACGCAACCUAGCCCGAGCCUCAUCCUCGGCAUACUCUGGGUAAAAUUGUGCUUUGAGCUCACAUCGAAACUCCUCCCAUGUUUUAAUUUCAGACCCACCACGUCUCACAUCAGUGGACCUACGACGCCACCACAACAAAGCAACGUCAGAUAAAUACAUCGCAGCAGUAGUUACCUUAGUGACAUCCUCCGUGAUGCCUUUGGCACAGAAGUAUUACUCGAUCCCCCACAAAAAGUUGUCCACAUCUCUUGCAGACCUUGUUCCCUUAAACUCUUUGGGCUUGGGAACAUCAAUAUUGGGCUUGGGUGCGGCAGCCGCUAACCCACCAUUGCCCAAGGCAACCUUGUAGAUUGUGAGUUCACCCUUGAGCUCCGCAAUCUCUCCCUUCAAGGCC
Molecule: long non-coding RNA, 30505 nt
Filed under: Gossypium barbadense (sea-island cotton)
Lineage: Eukaryota; Viridiplantae; Streptophyta; Magnoliopsida; Malvales; Malvaceae
Description: long non-coding RNA (GBAR_LNC020584)
Source: RNAcentral